AAGUCGUAACAAGGUAUCCGUAGGUGAACCUGCGGAUGGAUCAUUAUCACGUAUCCACGUAUCAACCAUUGUGAACUGUACCUACCUUUGAAAGGAGUAUGAGUGAUAAGAGUUUUUUUUGUGUAACAACGAGAAAAGCUUUUCCUUUCAGAGUGUAUUUUUAUCACUUUAAUUAACAAUUUUAACUAAUUAUUAUACUUUUUGUCUGAUAUUAUUUCUUACUCUCUCGGGAGAAGAAAUUCAUUACGAAACAAAGAACAACUCUUAGCAACGGAUAUCUUGGUUCUC
This 288-nucleotide unclassified non-coding RNA is filed under the name fungal sp. RNAcentral describes it as "partial internal transcribed spacer region". The stretch from base 1 to 46 matches the Rfam family "Eukaryotic small subunit ribosomal RNA", at positions 1786 to 1831 of the family's 1831-position model. The record is from RNAcentral. Lineage: Eukaryota; Fungi.